GGCGGAGUAGCUCAGGGGUUAGAGCAGCGGAAUCAUAAUCCGAAGGUCGGCAGUUCAAUUCUGCCCUCCGCUACCA
This 76-nucleotide transfer RNA is filed under the name Alphaproteobacteria bacterium. RNAcentral describes it as "tRNA-Met". It matches the Rfam family "tRNA". From Rfam's summary of the family: Transfer RNA (tRNA) molecules are approximately 80 nucleotides in length. Their secondary structure includes four short double-helical elements and three loops (D, anti-codon, and T loops). RNAcentral also lists the same sequence under 1 other name. The record is from RNAcentral. Lineage: Bacteria; Pseudomonadati; Pseudomonadota; Alphaproteobacteria.